AACGCUGGCGGCGUUGCUUAACACACGCAAGUUCGAACGGUGAAGCGCUCUUUCCUUUUUCGGCGGGCGUCGGACGAGCGGCGAACGGGUGAGUAACACGUGAGUAACCUGCCCCCUUCUUCUGGAUAACCGCAUGAAAGUGUGGCUAAUACGGGAUAUUCUGUGCCUGCUGCAUGGUGGGUGUGGGAAAGAUUGCGCCUUUUGGGUCGUUUUUGGUGGGGGAUGGGCUCGCGGCCUAUCAGCUUGUUGGUGGGGUGAUGGCCUACCAAGGCGGUGACGGGUAGCCGGCCUGAGAGGGUGGACGGUCACACUGGGACUGAGACACGGCCCAGACUCCUACGGGAGGCAGCAGUGGGGAAUAUUGCACAAUGGGCGCAAGCCUGAUGCAGCGACGCCGCGUGAGGGAUGGAGGCCUUCGGGUUGUGAACCUCUUUCGCCAGUGAAGCAGGCCUGCUCCUUGGUGGGUGGGUUGACGGUAGCUGGAUAAGAAGCGCCGGCUAACUACGUGCCAGCAGCCGCGGUAAUACGUAGGGCGCGAGCGUUGUCCGGAAUUAUUGGGCGUAAAGAGCUCGUAGGCGGCUGGUCGCGUCUGUCGUGAAAUCCUCUGGCUUAACUGGGGGCUUGCGGGUGGGUACGGGCCGGCUUGAGUGCGGUAGGGGAGGCUGGAACUCCUGGUGUAGCGGUGGAAUGCGCAGAUAUCAGGAAGAACACCGGUGGCGAAGGCGGGUCUCUGGGCCGUUACUGACGCUGAGGAGCGAAAGCGUGGGGAGCGAACAGGAUUAGAUACCCUGGUAGUCCACGCCGUAAACGUUGGGCACUAGGUGUGGGGGGCCUUUUCCGGGUUUUCCGCGCCGUAGCUAACGCAUUAAGUGCCCCGCCUGGGGAGUACGGCCGCAAGGCUAAAACUCAAAGGAAUUGACGGGGGCCCGCACAAGCGGCGGAGCAUGCGGAUUAAUUCGAUGCAACGCGAAGAACCUUACCAAGGCUUGACAUGUGCCGGUCGGCUCCGGAGACGGGGUUUCCUCCUUGUGGGGCCGGUUCACAGGUGGUGCAUGGUUGUCGUCAGCUCGUGUCGUGAGAUGUUGGGUUAAGUCCCGCAACGAGCGCAACCCUUGUCUCGUGUUGCCAGCACGUUGUGGUGGGGACUCGCGGGAGACUGCCGGGGUCAACUCGGAGGAAGGUGGGGAUGACGUCAAAUCAUCAUGCCCCUUAUGUCUUGGGCUUCACGCAUGCUACAAUGGCCGGUACAGAGGGCUGCGAUACCGUGAGGUGGAGCGAAUCCCUUAAAGCCGGUCUCAGUUCGGAUCGGUGUCUGCAAACUCGACACCGUGAAAGUUGGAGUCGCUAGUAAUCGCAGAAUCAGCAAACGCUGCGGUGAAAUACGUUUCUCGGGCCUUGUACACACCGCCC
RNAcentral lists this ribosomal RNA (1410 nucleotides) under uncultured bacterium. Its description in RNAcentral is "bacterial SSU rRNA". It matches the Rfam family "Bacterial small subunit ribosomal RNA", at positions 32 to 1395 of the family's 1533-position model. The record is from RNAcentral.